GACGAACGCUGGCGGCGUGCUUAACACAUGCAAGUCGAACGGAAAGGCCCCUUUGGGGGUCCUCGAGUGGCGAACGGGUGCGUAACACGUGAGUAACCUGCCCUUGACUUCGGGAUAACUUCAGGAAACUGGGGCUAAUACCGGAUAGGAAUCCUUGCUGCAUGGUGGGGGUUGGAAAGCUUCGGCGGUUUUGGAUGGACUCGCGGCUUAUCAGCUUGUUGGUGGGGUAGUGGCUUACCAAGGCUUUGACGGGUAGCCGGCCUGAGAGGGCGACCGGCCACAUUGGGACUGAGAUACGGCCCAGACUCCUACGGGAGGCAGCAGUGGGGAAUAUUGCACAAUGGGCGGAAGCCUGAUGCAGAAACGCUGCGUGCGGGAGGACGGCCUUCGGGUUGUAAACCGCUUUCAGCAGGGGCGAAGCUUGUGGUGACGGUACCUGCAGAAGAAGCACCGGCUAACUACGUG
Molecule: ribosomal RNA, 465 nt
Filed under: uncultured bacterium
Lineage: Bacteria
Description: partial 16S ribosomal RNA
Rfam family: Bacterial small subunit ribosomal RNA
Source: RNAcentral